Molecule: ribosomal RNA, 439 nt
Filed under: uncultured bacterium
Lineage: Bacteria
Description: partial 16S ribosomal RNA
Rfam family: Bacterial small subunit ribosomal RNA
Source: RNAcentral
CUACGGGCGGCUCCAGUGAGGAAUAUUGGACAAUGGGGGGAACCCUGAUGCAGCAACGCCGCGUGGAGGAUGACGCAUUUCGGUGUGUAAACUCCUUUUAUAUGUCAAGAAAAUGACGGUAGCAUAUGAAUAAGCACCGGCUAACUCCGUGCCAGCAGCCGCGGUAAUACGGAGGGUGCAAGCGUUACUCGGAAUCACUGGGCGUAAAGGACGCGUAGGCGGGUUGGAAAGUCAGGUGUGAAAUCCUACAGCUUAACUGUAGAACUGCACUUGAAACUUCUAAUCUAGAGUAUGGGAGGGGGAGAUGGAAUUAGUGGUGUAGGGGUAAAAUCCGUAGAUAUCACUAGGAAUACCUAAAGCGAAGGCGAUCUCCUGGAACAUUACUGACGCUAAGGCAUGAAAGCGUGGGGAGCAAACAGGAUUAGAUACCCCCGUAGUC